RNAcentral lists this ribosomal RNA (787 nucleotides) under uncultured marine bacterium. Its description in RNAcentral is "bacterial SSU rRNA". It matches the Rfam family "Bacterial small subunit ribosomal RNA", at positions 14 to 794 of the family's 1533-position model. The record is from RNAcentral.
UGAUCCUGGCUCAGGAUGAACGCUAGCGGCACGCUUCAUACAUGCAAGUCGAGGGGCAGCAUAAAGUACUUGUACUUUGAUGGCGACCGGCGAACGGGUGCGUAACGCGUAUGCAACUUACCUUUUACUAGAGAAUAGCCAAGAGAAAUUUUGAUUAAUGCUCUAUACACUUCUUAACUCACAUGAGUUUUUAAGAAAAGCUCCGGCGGUAAAAGAUGGGCAUGCGUCCUAUUAGCUUGUAGGUGAGGUAACGGCUCACCUAAGCUCCGAUAGGUAGGGGUCCUGAGAGGGAGAUCCCCCACACUGGUACUGAGACACGGACCAGACUUCUACGGAAGGCAGCAGUAAGGAAUAUUGGACAAUGGAGGAAACUCUGAUCCAGCGAUGCCGCGUGAAGGAAGACGGCCCUAUGGGUUGUAAACUUCUUUUAUACAGGAAGAAACCUUUCCACGUGUGGAAAGCUGACGGUACUGUAAGAAUAAGGAUCGGCUAACUCCGUGCCAGCAGCCGCGGUAAUAUGGAGGAUCCAAGCGUUAUCCGGAAUUAUUGGGUUUAAAGGGUCCGCAGGCUGUUUGUUAAGUCAGAGGUGAAAUCCUACCGCUCAACGGUAGAACUGCCUUUGAUACUGGCAAACUUGAGUUAUUGUGAAGUAGUUAGAAUGUGUAGUGUAGCGGUGAAAUGCAUAGAUAUUACACAGAAUACCAAUUGCGAAGGCAGAUUACUAACAAUUAACUGACGCUGAGGGACGAAAGCGUGGGUAGCGAACAGGACUAGAUACCCUGGUAGU